AGGGGGUGAGAGAGAGGGAGAGAGACAGAGAGACACCUGCAUCCGUGCUUCACCACUUCUGAAGCUUUUCCCCUGCAAGUGGGGACCAGGGGUUUGAACCCAGGCCGUUGUGCAUUGUAAUAUGUGCGCUCAACCAGGUGCGCCACCAUCCGGGCCCUAUCAUUCUUGAAUUUAGGGUGAAGUGAUGACUUUGUCAAACAAGGCAAAAGACUGGAGCACUGGACACACCUGCUUGGUGCUAAUGCCUCUAGACACGCGCACACACCAGGGAGGGGGAGACCACGGCUGUGGUGCUGGGAUACGAGGGUAGCCCUCUUACCAUUAUUAUCUGCUUACCCUCAAUUCCAGGAUCAUUUCAAGCUUUCUGCUAAUUGUGGAACUUGCUUUUCCCCAUUGUGCAAUCAAGUGACUCUCCAUUUAAAAUGUUCUUUUCAAAUGUUACCUGUUUAGCUGCCAUCAAGGAAAAAGAAAAGUAAAUAGUCCUACAGAAGCGGGAUUAUCGGAAGCUUCCUCUGUAGAACAUCUUGGUCAUUUUUUUCUUUCUUUUUUUUCUUUUUUUUGCCUCCAGGGUUAUUGCUGGAGCUUUGUGCCUGCACUCGAACCCACUGCUCCUGGAGGCCAUUUUUCCCAUUCUGAUAUCCUUGUUGUUUACCUUUGUUGUUACUGUUAUUGCUGUCGUUGGAUAGGACAGAGAAAUUGAGAAAGGAAGAGAGGACAGAGAGGGGGAGAGAAAGACACCUGCAGACCUGCUUCACCGCUUGUGAAGCGACUCCCCUGUAGGUGGGGAGCUGGGGGCUCGAACCGGGAUCCAUAUACUGGUCCUUGCGCUUUUGCGCCAAGUGUGCUUAACCUGCUGCGCUACCACUCGAUGCCCCCUCCCCCCCUUUUUUUCUCUAACAACGGAGACCAGGACACCACCCUAGCCACAUGAUGGCUGGGGAUUGAACUCAGACCUGUGUGCAGGUCCUGCACUCCACUGCUGUACCACCUUUAAAAACAAACAAACAAAAAACAGCCCUGAGCAAGGGCCACUUGGAAGUUAUCCCCAACAGCACUUGGGGCCUGAAUGCAGAGUAAGCAGUUCUGCUCCCCGCCCCUCAUCUCUAAGCUGGAAAGUGCAAGUCCCCAAGCUGACAGUGUGAUGACUGUUGUAGAAAUAAAACAGUGAAAGGAUGGGGAGACAGCACAUAAACUCUCCUGCCUGAGGCUCUGGAGUGUGAGGUUCACACCCUAGCACCAUGUGGCAUCACCAGAGCUGAGCAGGGCUCCGGACAAAAAGGAACAAAAAAUAAACAGACUGGUUUUGUUAAUAGAGAAGCC
Long non-coding RNA from Erinaceus europaeus (western European hedgehog), 1320 nucleotides. RefSeq lists it as uncharacterized. Lineage: Eukaryota; Metazoa; Chordata; Mammalia; Eulipotyphla; Erinaceidae. The transcript is spliced from 2 exons. The record is from RefSeq and is a predicted model, not a curated record.